GGUUUGAGAGGAUGAUCCGCCACACUGGGACUGAGACACGGCCCAGACUCCUACGGGAGGCAGCAGUGGGGAAUUUUGGACAAUGGGCGCAAGCCUGAUCCAGCCAUGCCGCGUGUUUGAAGAAGGCCUUCGGGUUGUAAAGGACUUUUGUCCGGGAGCAAAUCCCAGUGGUUAAUACCUACUGGGGCUGAGAGUGCCGGAAGAAUAAGCACCGGCUAACUACGUGCCAGCAGCCGCGGUAAUACGUAGGGUGCAAGCGUUAAUCGGAAUUACUGGGCGUAAAGCGUGCGCAGGCGGUUGUGCAAGUCUGAUGUGAAAGCCCCGGGCUUAACCUGGGAACGGCAUUGGAGACUG
RNAcentral lists this ribosomal RNA (354 nucleotides) under bacterium LimA-10-J-150. Its description in RNAcentral is "bacterial SSU rRNA". It matches the Rfam family "Bacterial small subunit ribosomal RNA", at positions 289 to 635 of the family's 1533-position model. The record is from RNAcentral.